Molecule: ribosomal RNA, 423 nt
Filed under: uncultured bacterium
Lineage: Bacteria
Description: partial 16S ribosomal RNA
Rfam family: Bacterial small subunit ribosomal RNA
Source: RNAcentral
AAUAUUGGACAAUGGGGGCAACCCUGAUCCAGCCAUGCCGCGUGUGUGAAGAAGGUCUUCGGAUCGUAAAACUCUGUUGUUAGGGAAGAACAAGUAUCGUUCGAAUAGGGCGGUACCUUGACGGUACCUAACCAUAAAGCCACGGCUAACUACGUGCCAGCAGCCGCGGGAAUACGUAGGUGGCAAGCGUUAUCCGGAAUUCUUGGGCGUAAAGCGCGCGCAGGCGGUUUCUUAAGUCUGAUGUGAAAGCCCACGGCUCAACCGUGGAGGGUCAUUGGAAACUGGGAAGCUUGAGUGCAGAAGAGGAGAGUGGAAUUCCAUGUGUAGCGGUGAAAUGCGUAGAGAUAUGGAGGAACACCAGUGGCGAAGGCGACUCUCUGGUCUGCAACUGACGCUGAGGCGCGAAAGCGUGGGGAGCGAACA